CCACGAAGCCACAGGCCUCUAUCUCCUUUCCUCAAACCUGCCGCCACACCAACGCAACCCUGCCCACGCACGUGACCUCCUCUCUCUCUCUCUCUCUCUCUCUCUCUCUUGUUUGUGUGAUCCGCCCUCCCACAUAGCCGCACGAUCAUCGCCAUCUCGAGUGGUGGGAGGAGAGGGCGACGACGAGCAGUUUUGAUCUGUCAUCUUCUUCGACGCGGAUGGCAGCAUAUCGAUCCGGCGCAGGAGGUUCGGGAUGUUCGUUGCUGCUGCGAAGAGGUAGCGAUGGGAUUCAGCGAAGGGCAAGGGUGCCGAUCUCCCUCCUCCCGCUCCCAAUCGCUGAUGUGGCCACCAUCAACCUGAUCUUCACCACCUCAGGAUUGCAGAAUUGUUCCCUUUGGUUUGAAGGAACUGGGCAGGAUUGAGAUUGAAUUGUUCAAUUACUAUUAGGAUCUGAAUCUGGUGGACUCCAUACCAUGAUGCUAAAUCUUCUUACGGGUAGCUUUUGAUGCAGCAGUGGACAGUAAGAUUGUUUGCUGAAUCAGCCCAUGCUCACACGAAUAAUUGGUCGCUUUUUUUGCCCAUUCGCUUCUGAUGUUGACACAAGGAGAGGAUGCCCAUAUUGUAUAAGCCGUGGUACAAAAUCCUCCAUUCAAUUAAAACCACAAUGGAGAACGAGGCAAGCCAAUAAGUUGAGAAGGUCCAAGAGUUGGCAAAAGCCGAACUGGCUGUAGCUCUUGCAAAAGAGAAAGCAUCCUAGAUCAAACAUAUUUCUGAAGCGAAUCUCAAUUUAUUACCUGAUAACUCUGUAGUACAUUUUCUGUGCCAACAUUACAUUACUUAAUCACUUUGAUUAGUGGGAGCAACUAAGCUGUUGUUGUAGGUACACAUCAUCGGAUUGAAGGGUGAGGAGAAGCAGAAGCAGAUCAAUAGGUUGCUAUAUUAUUCCACAUAUAUGGUUUUGUGUGAUGUUACUUUGGAUUACUAUAGAUGGUUCAUCUAUAAUGGAUAUUAGUGGCUAUUAAAAAUUAGUUUUGAUUUACUAUGGCAAUAGUUGUUGGUUACAACCAUUAAAAAGAUUGAUUAGUUCCAUCAGAUUAUUUGAACUGCAGCAAGGAAUGAACAUUACAACUCUCUUUGAUUUUCUUGAUGUUUCCUCUUUUGUCUGGUCUGAAAUAAUAUGUCUUGUCUAUAUAUUCUACUCUGCAUCAUCAUUUUCUUCUAUAUUACUGAUAGGAGAAUAUUGUAAUGGCACUUCAUUAGUUAGCGGUAAUAGACACAACUCCAGUCAUACCAUGUUAGUACAAUUAAUUUAUUUCAAUUCCAAACAUGUAUCAGUUGCAGAAGAUGUGGCACGAGUUGGUGGGCAGCUGGCUGUAGCCGUAGCAAGAGCAUUCAGAGACAUGAGCUGCUAUCCGUACACACGUAUAUAUUAGCUUGUGCACUGUCUCUUUGUCUCUCUACUACCUUGCCUACCCAGUCAUGCUUUGAAUUUGCUCUUAGCUUGGUGAGGUUAUUGUGAGGUAUUUAAUUUAUGUUCAUAAACGGAAAAAAUGAUGCAUGGUGAGAUUUUAGGUGUAUCUUAUUGACUGCAUGAUUACAUAUAUCGUGAUGUUACUCAGCUAUUAUUCUCAUUUGCUUCCCAUUGUGCAUUUGGUUUGUUGCAGGUCUUACACACCCGCACUUCUUCCUUAUAUUGCAUGGAUCCGACUAAGCCUUCCAUGUGUCUCUCCCAUUUUUUGAAGCUCUCGCAGAGAAGAAAUUAAGGUUUUCUUAGCAUUUCAGCUUCAUCUAGGAAAGUUAUAAUCAUUGUAUUAGAAAAAACACAAAUGAUCCUCUCACAAUGAUGGAAAAUUAGUUGUGAGCGAUGACUUGUGUUCUCUAGAGAUUUUUAAUUUAAGUGCAUGGUUGUCAA
Triticum aestivum (bread wheat) is the source of this 1912-nucleotide long non-coding RNA. RefSeq lists it as uncharacterized. The record is from RefSeq and is a predicted model, not a curated record. The transcript is spliced from 3 exons. Lineage: Eukaryota; Viridiplantae; Streptophyta; Magnoliopsida; Poales; Poaceae.